RNAcentral lists this unclassified non-coding RNA (254 nucleotides) under uncultured Actinomycetes bacterium. Its description in RNAcentral is "uncultured actinobacterium contains 16S-23S intergenic spacer region". It matches the Rfam family "Bacterial small subunit ribosomal RNA", at positions 524 to 776 of the family's 1533-position model. Lineage: Bacteria; Bacillati; Actinomycetota; Actinomycetes. The record is from RNAcentral.
UACGUAGGGGGCAAGCGUUGUCCGGAUUCACUGGGCGUAAAGGGCGUGUAGGCGGCUACGUUAGUCCGGCGUGAAAAGUCACGGCUCAACCGUGAUCCUGCGUCGGAUACUGCGUUGGCUAGAGGACGGUAGAGGCAGAUGGAACUAGCGGUGUAGCGGUGAAAUGCGCAGAUAUCGCUAGGAACGCCGGUGGCGAAGGCGAUCUGCUGGGCCGUUCCUGACGCUGAGGCGCGAAAGCUAGGGGAGCGAACCGG